CACAUGCAAGUCGAGCGGCAGCGGGAAGAUAGCUUGCUAUCUUUGCCGGCGAGCGGCGGACGGGUGAGUAAUGCCUAGGGAUCUGCCCAGUCGAGGGGGAUAACAGUUGGAAACGACUGCUAAUACCGCAUACGCCCUACGGGGGAAAGGAGGGGACCUUCGGGCCUUCCGCGAUUGGAUGAACCUAGGUGGGAUUAGCUAGUUGGUGAGGUAAUGGCUCACCAAGGCGACGAUCCCUAGCUGUUCUGAGAGGAUGAUCAGCCACACUGGGACUGAGACACGGCCCAGACUCCUACGGGAGGCAGCAGUGGGGAAUAUUGCACAAUGGGGGAAACCCUGAUGCAGCCAUGCCGCGUGUGUGAAGAAGGCCUUCGGGUUGUAAAGCACUUUCAGUAGGGAGGAAAGGUAGCAGCUUAAUACGCUGUUGCUGUGACGUUACCUACAGAAGAAGGACCGGCUAACUCCGUGCCAGCAGCCGCGGUAAUACGGAGGGUCCGAGCGUUAAUCGGAAUUACUGGGCGUAAAGCGUGCGCAGGCGGUUUGUUAAGCGAGAUGUGAAAGCCCCGGGCUCAACCUGGGAAUUGCAUUUCGAACUGGCGAACUAGAGUCUUGUAGAGGGGGGUAGAAUUCCAGGUGUAGCGGUGAAAUGCGUAGAGAUCUGGAGGAAUACCGGUGGCGAAGGCGGCCCCCUGGACAAAGACUGACGCUCAGGCAC
Molecule: ribosomal RNA, 715 nt
Filed under: Shewanella baltica
Lineage: Bacteria; Pseudomonadati; Pseudomonadota; Gammaproteobacteria; Alteromonadales; Shewanellaceae
Description: bacterial SSU rRNA
Rfam family: Bacterial small subunit ribosomal RNA
Source: RNAcentral